CAUUUAAAUAUGAUCAAUUAAUGCUAUUAUUCAGACUAUUUUUUCCAUAAUCAUGUAAAAAUUGAACUUCUUAUAUAUUUUCUUCCUAUCCUUGUGUAAUGGUUGUGAAAACAUGUUUUAUCCAUUGUGUAUGCUUGUUGACAUUGCUUCAUGGAUGCAUCACAUCAUAGUGAACAAAUCAUCGAUUGUAUGUUUCUGUUUUUAGAUGGGCAUUUUAGUUAGAAAAUUAUGUAGAAUUACAAUUCUAUACACAUGAAUAUAAUUGUGCCAUGUGAUAUAAAUCUCUCUCUUUUAUAAAGAUUUAUAUAAAGAAAAAUGGGGGUUCAUUGGCAUUUUUAGCUCACCUGUCCCGAAGGGACAAGUGAGCUUAUGCCAUCACUUGGCGUCCGUCGUCGUCCGUCGUCUGUCGUCGUAAACUAUUUCAAGAAUCUUCUCCUGUGAAACUACUGGGCCAAAUACUUUCAAACUUUAACUGAAUGUUCCUUAGGGUAUCUAAUUUAUAAAUUGUAUCCGAAGUUUUGAUCUAUCAACAAACAUGGUCGCCAUUGCUAAAAAUAGAACAUAGGGGUCAAAUACAGUUUUUGGCUUAUAACUCAAAAACCAAAGCAUUUAGAGCAAAUCUGACAUGGGUAAUAUUGUUUAUCAGGUCAAGAUCUAUCUGCCCUGAAAUUUUCAGAUGAAUCAGACAACCCGUUGUUGGGUUGCUGCCCCUGAAUUGGUAAUUUUAAGGAAAUUUUGCUGUUUUUGGUUAUUAUCUUGAAUAUUAUUAUAGAUAGAGAUAAACUGUAAACAGGAAUAAUGUUCAACAAAGUAAGAUUUACAAAUAAGUCAAUAUGACGGAAUUGGUCAGUUGACCCCUUUAGGAGUUAUUGCCCUUUAUAGUCAAUUUUUAACCAUUUUUCGUAAAUCUUAGUAAUCUUUUACAAAAAUCUUCUCCUCUGAAACUACUGGGCCAAAUACUUCCAAACUUUAAUUGAAUGUUCCUUAGGGUAUCUAGUUUUGUAAAUUGUAUCCGAAGUUAUGAUCUAUCAACAAACAUGGUCGCCAUUGCUAAAAAUAGAACAUAGGGGUCAAAUGCAGUUUUUGGCUUAUAACUCAAAAACCAAAGCAUUUAGAGCAAAUCUGACAUGGGAUAAUAUUGUUUAUCAGGUCAAGAUCUAUCUGCCCUGAAAUUUUCAGAUGAAUCAGACAACAUGUUGUUGGGUUACUGCCCCUGAAUUGGUAAUUUUAAAGAAAUUUUACUGUUUUUGGUUAUUAUCUUGAAUAUUAUUAUAGAUAGAGAUAAACUGUAAACAGCAAUAAUGUUCAGCAAAGUAAGAUUUACAAAUAAGUCAACAUGACGGAAAUGGUCAGUUGACCCCUUUAGGUGUUAUUGCCCUUUAUAGUCAAUUUUUAACCAUUUUUCGUAAAUCUUAGUAAUCUUUUACAAAAAUCUUCUCCUCUGAAACAACUGGGCCAAAUACUUCCAAACUUUAACUGAAUGUUCCUUAGGGUAUCUAGUUUGUAAAUUGUAUCCGAAGUUAUGAUCUAUCAACAAACAUGGUCGCCAUUGCUAAAAAUAGAACAUAGGGGUCAAAUGCAGUUUUUGGCUUAUAACUAAAAAACCAAAGCAUUUAGAGCAAAUCUGACAUGGGUAAUAUUGUUUAUCAGGUCAAGAUCUAUCUGCCCUGAAAUUUUCAGAUGAAUCAGACAACCUGUUGUUGGGUUGCUGCCCCUGAAUUGGUAAUUUUAAGGAAAUUUUGCUGUUUUUGUUUAUUAUCUUGAAUAUAAUUAUAGAUAGAAAUAAACUGUAAACAGCAAUAAUGUUCAG
RNAcentral lists this long non-coding RNA (1810 nucleotides) under Mytilus galloprovincialis (Mediterranean mussel). Lineage: Eukaryota; Metazoa; Mollusca; Bivalvia; Mytilida; Mytilidae. The record is from RNAcentral.